Molecule: long non-coding RNA, 468 nt
Organism: Micropterus dolomieu (smallmouth bass)
Lineage: Eukaryota; Metazoa; Chordata; Actinopteri; Centrarchiformes; Centrarchidae
Exons: 3
Source: RefSeq, a predicted model, not a curated record
UCUACUGUUAUGCAAAACUUUGUCCAAUUGUUUGGUUUACCUGGAAAAACAAAAGGCAUUCCUAUCACAUGUUAGCAUGCUAACACACUAAUCUUUCGGUGAACACGGUAAACAAUAUACUUGUUAACCAGCAGCAUGUUCCUUGUCAAGGAUCCUCCAGUCCCACACUUGCACCUCUGCAGACAGCCCUUCCCGAAAGUGCCUGCUGGACAGGACUCCUCGCAGUAGCGUCCUAUGAACCCAGGAGGACACUGACAUGCCCCCUUGGUAGGAUCGCAGAGAGCUCCGUUCUCACACUUACACUGCUGACUACAGCCUGGUCCCCAGUGUUUGUCAUCACAGGCUGAAAGGAUGAACCUAUAUAACCAUUUCUUCUCCAAGGAAAAAACGAUGUGACAUCUGGGUGAUUUUCAAGUGUUCCUGCCUGCAGGGUGCUACAGCCAUUUUCCGAGGAGAGUGGGAGCUACA